RNAcentral lists this ribosomal RNA (468 nucleotides) under uncultured bacterium. RNAcentral describes it as "partial 16S ribosomal RNA". It matches the Rfam family "Bacterial small subunit ribosomal RNA", at positions 28 to 507 of the family's 1533-position model. The record is from RNAcentral.
GACGAACGCUGGCGGCGUGCUUAACACAUGCAAGUCGAACGGAAAGGCCCUGCUUUUGUGGGGUGCUCGAGUGGCGAACGGGUGAGUAACACGUGAGUAACCUGCCCUUGACUUUGGGAUAACUUCAGGAAACUGGGGCUCAUACCGGAUAGGAGCUCCUGCUGCAUGGUGGGGGUUGGAAAGUUUCGGCGGUUGGGGAUGGACUCGCGGCUUAUCAGCUUGUUGGUGGGGUAGUGGCUUACCAAGGCUUUGACGGGUAGCCGGCCUGAGAGGGUGACCGGCCACAUUGGGACUGAGAUACGGCCCAGACUCCUACGGGAGGCAGCAGUGGGGAAUAUUGCACAAUGGGCGGAAGCCUGAUGCAGCAACGCCGCGUGCGGGAUGACGGCCUUCGGGUUGUAAACCGCUUUCGCCUGUGACGAAGAGUGAGUGACGGUAAUGGGUAAAGAAGCACCGGCUAACUACGUG